This 587-nucleotide ribosomal RNA is filed under the name Candidatus Glomeribacter gigasporarum. RNAcentral describes it as "bacterial LSU rRNA". It matches the Rfam family "Bacterial large subunit ribosomal RNA", at positions 923 to 1514 of the family's 2925-position model. The record is from RNAcentral. Lineage: Bacteria; Pseudomonadati; Pseudomonadota; Betaproteobacteria; Burkholderiales; Burkholderiaceae.
GGGUCCAUUGCGGAUUACUUCGCCAUAGCAAACUCCGAAUACCGAAGAGUGGAAUCACGGGAGACAGACAUCGGGUGCUAACGUCCGGUGUCAAGAGGGCAACAACCCAGACCGUCAGCUAAGGUCCAAAAGAUUGGCUCAGUGGGAAACGAAGUGGGAAGGUCGAAACAGUCAGGAGGUUGGCUUAGAAGCAGCCAUCCUUUAAAGAAAGCGUAAUAGCUCACUGAUCGAGUCAUCCUGCGCGAAAGAUGUAACGGGGCUUAAGCCAGUCACCGAAGCUGCGGAUGCAAGCGUGCUUGCAUGGUAGGAGAGCGUUCCGUAGACCGGAGAAGGCGCAUUGAGAAGUGCGUUGGAGGUAUCGGAAGUGCGAAUGCUGACAUGAGUAACGAUAAAGGAGGUGAAGAGCCUCCUCGCUGUAAGCCCAAGGUUUCCUGCGCAACGUUCAUCGGCGCAGGGUGAGUCGGCCCCUAAGGCGAGGCAGAAAUGCGUAGCUGAUGGGAAGCAGGUGAAUAUUCCUGCACCAUCGUAAGAAUGCGAUGAGGGGACGGAUCACGGAAGGUUGUCCGGGGGAUGGAAGUCCUGGUCCC